Long non-coding RNA from Polistes dominula (European paper wasp), 620 nucleotides. The record is from RefSeq and is a predicted model, not a curated record. NCBI's taxonomy places the organism in Eukaryota, Metazoa, Arthropoda, Insecta, Hymenoptera, Vespidae.
UGUUAAUAGAUAUUUUUAAAUUAUUUACAGAAAUCAAGUGUUUAACACGAAGUUGAAAUUUUGAAUUAAAAUGGCGCUCUCCGAUCAUUCAAAAUGACAAGUCGUCUCUGGAGAGUUCUGGAGGCCAAUCCACACAGACUUACAUAUUAGUACAACACAACAUCACGUUAUACGAUCGACGAAAUAAAAAUAUAUUUCAGCGUGCGACUGAAUUGGAAUGUUUUAUCGUUUAUUAUUAAACCGAUCGAUCUCUGAUGAUGAUGAUGAUGAUUAAUGAUGAUUAGAAUGAUGAUUAGAAUGAUGAUGAUAAUGAGAAUGAUGAUGAUGAUGAUGAUAAUGAUGAUGAUGAUGAUGAUGAACAUGGUUCCUUUCGCGUUGAGAUUAUACUAAUAUAAAUAAGCUGUGUGAUAAAAAUGAUGCAGCUAUUUUCCCGAGGAAUUUACGUGCAAUACAAAAUGGCGCAUAAGAUUUUUUCCGAGAUAAAUCUUACAUACAAUAUUACACAACACAUAAACAAACAAACAAACAAACAAACAAACACACAAACACAUACCAAGCAUUGUAAUAGCACCCAUGUAUAUAUCCGUUUAAUGUUUAAACAAAAAGAAAGAAAAAAAAAA